CCUACGGGAGGCAGCAGUGGGGAAUCUUGCGCAAUGCGCGAAAGCGUGACGCAGCAACGCCGCGUGAGGCAAGAAGGCCUUCGGGUUGUAAACCUCUUUCAGUUGGGACGAAGCCACGGUCGGUUAAUACCUGUAUGUGGUGACGGUACCUUCACAACAAGCCCCGGCUAACUACGUGCCAGCAGCCGCGGUAAU
Molecule: ribosomal RNA, 195 nt
Filed under: uncultured actinomycete GT32
Lineage: Bacteria; Bacillati; Actinomycetota; Actinomycetes; Actinomycetales
Description: partial 16S ribosomal RNA
Rfam family: Bacterial small subunit ribosomal RNA
Source: RNAcentral